UGACCUGCCUUCGAGUGGGGGAUAACGUCCCGAAAGGGACGCUAAUACCGCAUGACAUCCUGCCUUUGAAGAGGUGGAGCUUAAAGCCGGGGAUCGCAAGACCUGGCGCUUGAAGAGGGGCCCGCGCCUGAUUAGCUAGUUGGUGAGGUAACGGCUCACCAAGGCAUCGAUCAGUAUCCGGCCUGAGAGGGCGGACGGACACACUGGGACUGAGACACGGCCCAG
Molecule: ribosomal RNA, 225 nt
Filed under: uncultured bacterium
Lineage: Bacteria
Description: partial 16S ribosomal RNA
Rfam family: Bacterial small subunit ribosomal RNA
Source: RNAcentral